UUUGAAAUUUGUAUUAAAAUAAAAAUAAAAAUAAAAAAUUUAAGUUUGCCGCCACUAAAAUUCUUCCCGCUGCCUCAAAUAUUUGAUCAUCCUGCCCAUAUCCCUAAAAUUGUGGAGCCUCUACAUGCUACUCUUUUACUACCUCCAGCGAUGAAACUCCAAUAAACCUAAAAGAUCUAAAAUUUCACGGCUUCUCUUCCAUCGCCCAUCACUCUCUCUCUCUCUCUCUCUCGUAAUUCUCCUUUUUUUCCUCUUAUUCUGUCUCAGCACGUCUUAUUCUUCUAUAUCCUCUUGGUCUUUCUUUACAGGUUUGCCUCCAUUCCAGAUCUGUUCGGACACAAAAAUUGAAAGAAGUUUGGCAGUUGGGCAAUAGUACAAGAGCCUUGCAUCGAUUCUAUGAUUGGUCUUGUUUAGGAUUUGAGGUUUCUGUUUGGGAUUUCUGUCAAUCAUAUAUUUGCGAGAGAAUCACCGUUUUCGGGUAAAUCUACUAAUGGAGAUUUCGAAGCAAAUGCACCUUGAUCCUUAGCUGCUAGCCACUAGUUAUAAGGUAUUCGAAGAAACCUUAUCUAUCUAUAUGAGGCAACAAAAUAUUAAUAAUGUGCGAGUAGUUUAGAAUUAAUGGUUUUAUUACUUGCAGUAUUAAUAAUGUGCAACAAAGUAUCUGAGAGCAUUAUAUAUGGUCAAUGACUUUAGCUUAUGAUAUGAUAGCACUGACCCAUUUUAUAUGUACUGUUGAACAUGCUGUAUUUGUUUUCUUUUUCAUACCUCCUGUGAGAUAUUAUAGUAAUUUGCAACAUGUUGGAUUGGCUUGGACGGCUGUGAUGGAGUGCUUGGGGUUCCCUUAGCAAUUUCGCCCUAUUGGGCCAGCUGGGCCUGGGGCUGUUUGGAGGGUUUGUGGUAUGGCUGGAAGUGGGUGGGCUGGGUCCUACAACUUCUGGCUUGGACUCUGUCUGCUAGGGAUUGGGGCUGGAUUACCCUCUUGCUAGGGGAUUGGAUGUUGUGGGUCUCUAUGGCCCAUAGUGCCGUUUAAUUUUUGUUUGGGUCGCAAAAACCAGUGCCUUAGUUGGAUUUUUUGUAAGCUUCGAGGUUUCUAGGUUUUUGUUAGAAUAAAAGUGCGUGAAUUUACCAAAAGGUGGGUGUACUAGGGAUUUCUGGGAUUUUAUUCUGCUAGAAUAGGGUUCAUGAGGUUCUAAGGAACGAUUCUUUCUGUCGACCCCAUAGGGGUGUUUCGUUUUUGUACUGCUUGCUGAAUAUUAAUGAAAGGGCUGACCUAUUACCAUAAAAAAAAAAAGUGGAGAUUGUAGUUACUAACUUCAGUAGGUAUUGGGCUUUUAAGUGGCAAUUAGUUUGCUUAGACAUGUUUAACAAAUGUAAUCUUUUAUUAUUUGUUUUUAGGUUAGUAUUUUCUCUCGUACUAUUCUAAUGUCAUGGAUGAUGUUAUUUUAUCUAUGUAUUAAGACUAUGUAGUUUGCAUUCUAUAAAUUAUUCAA
Rosa rugosa (rugosa rose) is the source of this 1490-nucleotide long non-coding RNA. RefSeq lists it as uncharacterized. The record is from RefSeq and is a predicted model, not a curated record. NCBI's taxonomy places the organism in Eukaryota, Viridiplantae, Streptophyta, Magnoliopsida, Rosales, Rosaceae. The transcript is spliced from 3 exons.